This 269-nucleotide long non-coding RNA is filed under the name Ananas comosus (pineapple). Its description in RNAcentral is "long non-coding RNA (ACOM_LNC033856)". The record is from RNAcentral. Lineage: Eukaryota; Viridiplantae; Streptophyta; Magnoliopsida; Poales; Bromeliaceae.
AUGGUAUUAUUGAACUUGUUUUUUUUUUUUUUAGAGAAAGAUAGCAUGCUACUCGCUUCGUUUAUUUCUUUUUAGAAAUAAACUUAGCUGGAAAUAUGAGUCAACUAAAAUUCGAAUUUGAAAUCUCGAAUACUAACCACUAAGUCUUUUAUCACUUGUGCUAGGGACAGUCGGUUAUUGAACCUGUUAUAUAUUGAGAAUGGGAGCUUAUUAGUUUGGUGAAGCGCAGAGUUGUAAUGGAGAGAACUUUUUGGAGCACAGAGAAUAAG